AGUGAACGCUGGCGGCAGGCCUAGUACAUGCAAGUCGAACGGCAGCACAGUGGAGCUUGCUCCAUGGGUGGCGAGUGGCGGACGGGUGAGGAAUACAUGGGAAUCUGCCCAGUCGUGGGGGAUAACGUAUGGAAACGUACGCUAAUACCGCAUGCGCCCUUCGGGGGAAAGUCGGGGACCGCAAGGCCUGACGCGAUUGGAUGAGCCCAUGUUCGAUUAGCUAGUUAGCGGGGUAACGGCCCACCAAGGCGACGAUCGAUAGCUGGUCUGAGAGGAUGAUCAGCCACACUGGAACUGAGACACGGUCCAGACUCCUACGGGAGGCAGCAGUAGGGAAUAUUGGACAAUGGGACGCAAGACCUGAUCCAGCCAUGCCGCGUGAGUGAAGAAGG
RNAcentral lists this ribosomal RNA (392 nucleotides) under uncultured bacterium. Its description in RNAcentral is "bacterial SSU rRNA". It matches the Rfam family "Bacterial small subunit ribosomal RNA", at positions 29 to 414 of the family's 1533-position model. The record is from RNAcentral.